Long non-coding RNA from Chroicocephalus ridibundus (black-headed gull), 543 nucleotides. RefSeq lists it as uncharacterized. The record is from RefSeq and is a predicted model, not a curated record. The transcript has 4 exons. NCBI's taxonomy places the organism in Eukaryota, Metazoa, Chordata, Aves, Charadriiformes, Laridae.
AAAACCUCAGAAAAGAGGACUCAGUGCUUCAGUGAGAGGAGCCUUUCUUAGAAAGGAGAAUGAGGGGAAAAAUAACCAAAAAGAGAAGUAAGAUAAAGGGCAGGCAGAAUAGUCAAAUAUGAAACCUUUCAAUAGAAAGGUCUCAGUCUUGAGCUUUGAAGACAAAGAAGGGGCUCUGCAGAACACGUGGAAUUUCAGAUGUUUGCUGCCUUCAUCAGCAAGUUAAAGGAUGCAGUGGCAACCGAAGCUGCAUGGAUUCAUUGACCUUCCAGUUCUGUACCCUGCAUUUGGACCUUUGCUGGAUAAAAUAGUCCACUUGGAGUUUUUGGUAACCUUGGGGAAACAAGUUACAGCAACGAUCAGCCCAGAUGACAAAUUUGCAAGCAGGCCAGGGUGAGAGCUGAAGAAUCUGAUCUGAGAAAGAAAAGAAAAUACUCCCAUAACAAAGAAACAAACCAACCUCCCCAAACCACCAACCCACGAGUAAUUUGAAAGAAAAUUCUGUUCAGGAAAAUAUGGAUGAUCCUGUUUUCUGGACAAAGG